This is a long non-coding RNA of Prunus avium (sweet cherry), 760 nucleotides long. RefSeq lists it as uncharacterized. The record is from RefSeq and is a predicted model, not a curated record. Lineage: Eukaryota; Viridiplantae; Streptophyta; Magnoliopsida; Rosales; Rosaceae.
AACAAGACAUGUUAUAAAGUGUGCGGCAAUCGAGUUAGCCGAAACAAAGGAGAUCGUAAUGAAACUUUCAACGUUGGUAUCAAUUGUUUUACUUUUCAAGACUUGAGCCCUAGUAGUGUUCGGAAGAAGAAGCAUGGAAAGUUAAUUGGCAACAAGUAUGGUACUCACCAUCGAUGUGACUCGAAAGCUCAAAAGAGGUCAAGGCACAGGUACUUGAAGAAAAACUAUAUAGACCCUCAAAAACUUGAGUUGCCAAGACAUUGCCUGAAGGUAAAGAAAAUGCCUACAGACCGCCUAGUUCUGACGCCUACUGGUCAUCCCAAGCAACUGGUUUCUGAGGAUAUUUCUGAAGUGAAGAUCGACCACCAAAACAGAAACAGCAGCUCCAAGUCCCCAGAAAUGAGUUCCAAGAAUGUGAGAGGUCGGAAGAAAAGGAAGGGCAGAAGCGGCAAUGUCUUCAACAUUGUUGGCAAUCAAAUUAAGGGGAGCAAAGCUGACCGGGUAGGAAUUUUCGGUUUUGGCAACACCCACGUCCAUAAAAGGCCACGAGAAAGAAAAACAAGUCGACUCCAUGGCCAAUAGAGAAACCAACUCGGCCUCCAGUAAAAAUGAAAAAGGCAAGCGAUUGCUGGAAAAUACAUUACUUGGAGUGGUUCUGUGAGGAAGCACUUGUUAGACUUUGUAAUUAUCUUAGAGAUAUGACUCUCAUUCAUUGUACAUAUCAUUACAGUCUAAUACAAUUGUUUUUAUCUUUGAUUUA